This is a small nucleolar RNA of Rattus norvegicus (Norway rat), 129 nucleotides long. Ensembl annotates it as small nucleolar RNA SNORA17. NCBI's taxonomy places the organism in Eukaryota, Metazoa, Chordata, Mammalia, Rodentia, Muridae. The record is from Ensembl.
CCUGCUUCUAGAGGCUUUGCAGGUGUGGUGGCUAUAUUAUAUGUGUCAGUAGGUGGCAGAAAGGAGAGAGACUCUGUCUAAGCUCAGUGUUCUGACAAUGAACAUCUGAAUUAUUAGUAAAUUAAAAAA